Molecule: ribosomal RNA, 448 nt
Filed under: uncultured bacterium
Lineage: Bacteria
Description: SSU rRNA
Rfam family: Bacterial small subunit ribosomal RNA
Source: RNAcentral
AGAGCGAACGCUGGCGGCAGGCUUAAUACAUGCAAGUCGAGCGCCCGUAGCAAUACGGGAGCGGCAGACGGGUGAGUAACGCGUGGGAACGUACCCUUUGGUUCGGAACAACACAGGGAAACUUGUGCUAAUACCGGAUAAGCCCUUACGGGGAAAGAUUUAUCGCCGAAGGAUCGGCCCGCGUCUGAUUAGCUAGUUGGUGAGGUAAUGGCUCACCAAGGCGACGAUCAGUAGCUGGUCUGAGAGGAUGAUCAGCCACACUGGGACUGAGACACGGCCCAGACUCCUACGGGAGGCAGCAGUAGGGAAUAUUGGACAAUGGGGGCAACCCUGAUCCAGCCAUGCCGCGUGAGUGAUGAAGGCCUUAGGGUUGUAAAGCUCUUUUGUGCGGGAAGAUAAUGACGGUACCGCAAGAAUAAGCCCCGGCUAACUUCGCGCCAGCAGCCGC